CUAUCGUAUGAGAUUGCCGUCUGCCAUCAUUUUCUGAAAUUAUCAAAUUCUUUGUGCAUAGGUUAAACCAGGUUAAAGCAUCAGAAGGUUGUUUUCUUUAAUUAUUACUAUGACAUCUUGAUGGCAGUUAGGUUAAAAGCCAACUUCAGCAAUAAAAUCUAUUGUGUGUGUAGCCACACGAUCUUUUAUUUUUACUGGGAAAAAUCUGGGAUAAUGGAUUUCAUUACGUCUUAUAUUUGCAUCUUAGUAUGGAUAUAGAUGCUUGUGUGGUUCUACGAUAUGAGUGAAGUGUGGUUAUGGAUGAAUGUAAGACUCAUAAAAUACUUGAAUCUUUUCAU
RNAcentral lists this long non-coding RNA (338 nucleotides) under Elaeis guineensis (African oil palm). Its description in RNAcentral is "long non-coding RNA (EGUI_LNC014857)". Lineage: Eukaryota; Viridiplantae; Streptophyta; Magnoliopsida; Arecales; Arecaceae. The record is from RNAcentral.